UCGAAUGUAAUUAGAGUUGGUUGUCGCUGGCGCUCUUCAUUGGGCGCAUGUGCACGCCUUCUCUAUUUCAUCCACACACACUUGUGCACCUGUGAGACGGACUGACCCCCUCGGGGCGACGGUCCGCCUAUUAUACAUAAACUCUAAUAAAUAUAAAUCUGAAUGUCAUUUGAUGUAAACGCAUCUUUAAAC
This 192-nucleotide unclassified non-coding RNA is filed under the name uncultured fungus. Its description in RNAcentral is "sequence contains ITS1, 5.8S rRNA gene". The record is from RNAcentral. Lineage: Eukaryota; Fungi.